This 508-nucleotide long non-coding RNA is filed under the name Phoenix dactylifera (date palm). RNAcentral describes it as "long non-coding RNA (PDAC_LNC022070)". The record is from RNAcentral. Lineage: Eukaryota; Viridiplantae; Streptophyta; Magnoliopsida; Arecales; Arecaceae.
ACUGAGGGGGAAGGAGGAGGAGGUGGCUCUGCACGUGCCUCACGUUGUGGAGACACUGUAGAUGGCUCCGUAGCAUGUCUUUCCUCACGUUGGAUCCGUGAGACUCUUCCGGAUCUCUUGGCUACGGCUCUUUUGGGUCCCAUUUCUCCAAGAUCUUAAGGAAAUCUACUGUUUGGAGAUGUUUGGAGGAAUUUGGAGAGUGAGGAAUAGAAUAUUCAGAAGAGGACAAGGGCAAACAGUGCCCUAAUAGAGCUCUCGGGUCCCCCUUUUAACAGCGGAGUCCCGACGUUGGGUCGACUCAAGAAAUUUCUUGGGUCGACUCAACGUUGGGUCGACCCUAUUCUGGGUUGGGUCGACCCAAGUGCAGAAUUUUUUCUUUUCUCUUCCUUUUUGCUUCUAAAAAUUUUUCUUGCUUCCAAUUCUUAUAAAUUCUUUCUGGGACAAUGAUACAUGAGUAAGGAAUCUAUAGAUGACAAGUUUGACUCAUGUUUCAUGGGUUUUUAGAAAU